UGUAGCUGCUGUACAGCCUCCGGCCGCUAGUCGCAGCACUGCUGCUGAUUAGCAUGGCUGUGUGGAGAGAGGAAGAUAUCUGGCGCCAUCUUUGAUUUUAGGCUGUAAAAUUGUUUGUGUCACGGUACAUCUGCCUGACACCGAUUUUAAUCACAACAGUGGUCGCCAAGGUGAUUGUCUACCAAAAGAUGACACACUCUGAGGGAUGUCGACAUCCGCGAUCCAGCUGAAGCUGUAAGACAGGCUGUUGGAACCACCAUGGUUCAGUAUUGAAAAUGGAGGCUUGAAGAUUUAUAGCACCCAUGUCAACAUGUCAAUGAUGUAGGCGGACAUGUUUCCUUGUCAACAAUCAAGAGAAGACUUCAUGACCAAAACCUCAGAGGAUUCAUUACAAGAUCCAAAUCCCCUCCAGGAGAAUGAUCGUGAACAUACGACCACAGCAACCAAAGAGCUUUUCACAGUGAAGAGGUGGAAUAUCUUUGACAGAAACCAGACAGGAGCAUCAUCUACAACACCCCUCCACCCCCUCCCACCCCCCCACUGUGUGUCCCUACUGCAGUGAGCUGUGCAGUGACAGUCAGUGAAACACUUGAAGCCGAUAGAUGGCAGCACAUAGUUUCAACUUAGCAGCCAGUAAAUGUUACACAAUCUUUUCUUCCCCUCCAAGGUUAAUUGAUUCCCUUUUAAGUCGAGUCAGCAUUUUGUGUUUGUGAAAGAAUUUGUACUUUAGAAAUAUGCAAAAAAAAAAAAAAAAAUUGUGGUGGGAGCUCGGUCCUCUGCAGCUGCAGCGGCUGAUUCAGGCAAAAGCCUCUCAGCACACAGCGUUCCAAGUUCUCUCUGCUGGCAGUUGGCAGCCGUUGCAUGAAUAGAGAGCAGCGGAGGGCAUUCUUCACAUAGCCAUUCUGAACACAUAUUUAACAUCUUUGUUCAUGUUGGUCGUUAAUCCUCCUUGAACUGAAUAUCAAUUAACAAGCACCUCUUUAUAGUCAGGUUUGAGAAUAGCUGAUGGUGAAAAAGGGAUUUCAAAUUGGUGCCUGUUCACUUAACACUUAAUGAUGCUUUCUGAGAGUCCUCCCUUGUUGGGCUGUGUUUUAUGGUCAGAUAAAAGUUGUGCAGGGAGAAAAAUGCCAUCUGGGCUCUGUGCCAGGGGCUGGUGUUUCACAGCAGCUACUGCCUCAC
Molecule: long non-coding RNA, 1179 nt
Organism: Seriola aureovittata
Lineage: Eukaryota; Metazoa; Chordata; Actinopteri; Carangiformes; Carangidae
Exons: 6
Source: RefSeq, a predicted model, not a curated record